CCUACGGGUGGCAGCAGUGGGGAAUAUUGGGCAAUGGGCGCAAGCCUGACCCAGCGACGCCGCGUGAAGGAAGAAGGCUUUCGGUUUGUAAACUUCUUUCAAGAGGGAAGAACAUAAGACUAUAUCGGUUAGAUGAGCCACCUCUAACAAUGUGCCAGGAGCCGCUGAAACACGUAGGUGGCAAGCUUUCUGCGGUUUUACGGGGUGUAAGGGGCGUGCAGGGGGGAGGACAAGUCAGGUGUGAAAUGCCGGGGCUCAACCGCGGGACUGCUCUUGAAAGUGUUUGUCUGGAGUACAGGAGAGGUAAGCGGAAUUCCUAGUGUAGCGGUGAAAUGCGUAGAUAGUAGGAGGAACACCAGUGGCGAAGGCGGAUGACUGGACUGCAACUGACGGUGAGGCGCGAAAGCGUGGGGAGCAAACAGGAUUAGAUACCCGUGUAGUC
Molecule: ribosomal RNA, 442 nt
Filed under: uncultured bacterium
Lineage: Bacteria
Description: partial 16S ribosomal RNA
Rfam family: Bacterial small subunit ribosomal RNA
Source: RNAcentral